AAGACUGGCCAUCUCUACCACAAGGUAGACUUUUUAGCUAGCCCUAGUGUCCAAACCGCAUGGCUAGAAGCAACUGCUCAGCUGCUAGUCACCAGAAUCGCGCACCUGCACCUAUACAGUCUCUAUCAAGCCAGUUGCAAACCCAACUCCAUCUGCUUCAUGCCUAGUUCCAUUUGUUGCUGCGUGUUAAGUUCCUUUGCCACGCACCCAGCAACCUUCACAACACAGCCACAACCCCUCACUUGGCACGUCUGUACCUGACAGCCCUUCUUUCCGCCAUUGCUGCUCUCUGCACAACAGCAAUGCCUUGCACACCCAGCCACCACAGCACAUAGCCCUGUGUGCUCAACCUUUGGAAAGUCUAGCAGGUAAUCUCGCUCCUAUUACUUCUUAUUUGUUCUUAAUUACAGUGAACUGUUUUGAAAUAUGUUGGAAGUUACUUCUCAAUCUACUGACACAAACUCGCCAAUCAGAAACUCAACACAGAACAAUGGCGAAUGUCAAUAGAUCUAGGCUACCUACCUCUUCAGCGGGAAAGAUUACCUAAAUUGUUUANNNNNNNNNNNNNNNNNNNNNNNNNNNNNNNNNNNNNNNNNNNNNNNNNNNNNNNNNNNNNNNNNNNNNNNUAAUUGGUAUUAUAAAUAUGUAUGAUGAAUACCAGAGUCAUCAAUGAAAAAAUCUAUUCAGUCCUCAAAUUUUUACAUCUUUUUUCUUUUCCUCUCUCUCUCUCUCUUGCUUCUCAUUCUUUUAUCGAUCUUACUUCUAGCUCACAGCUAAAACCUAAUGAGACAAGAGCUUGACAAUGUGGUAUUAGUGUAUAACGACCCUCAGCCUCCUGUUAAUACCACUGCUAGACUAGCAAAAAGAAAAGGCAAGACAACCAUGACGGACUCACGGAGGAUGUCUCAACUGGAAGACAUUUUCAGAAAUAUUGACCAACCAUUCCAGGAGUUUAUGGCACAGAUGUACGAAGUGAUAGACGUGAGAAUGGCAGAAGCUAGCUCCAAAAUGCAAACAAUGGUGGUGGACACAAUAAAAACUCUUCUUGGCCAAAAACUCACUCCUGCAUUACUGACUCAGAAUUCCAUCCAAACGACCCAGAACUCUAACAACUCCAAUGCACCACUAUCAUCACCAACCCCCCACUCCUUUUCUUCGAAUGGUGGGCAGGCACUAACCUCUCAACCAACAUAAUACCUACAAUGGUUUUCUGGUCUUACAGUCUUCUUAAGUUCCCUCCCCAGUGAGAGACAUCCUAUCUACUAUAGGAGCCCAAGAUCAUAUCAGGUCUAAUCCAAAUACAAUUGGUAAUGCAGAAGGGAACAUGACAUCCAUGUGUUUGGUAUCCUCCCCAGUGACACUUCACAAUGACAAUCCUCUUCUCCGUUUAUCUUAAAAAAGGGGCUAAUACAAAUACCUAGCGGUACUUAGGAGGGAACACGACGCGCAUUUGAUAUCCCAUCUUUGAAAGAACAAAUCCAUGAGCAUGGCUAAGACGCAGUCGCAAACACUUCCAGGUCUAUGGAACAUCAGAGGAGAGGAAGGUAGAGAUAACUAUCUUAUACUUCGGUUGAAAUACCAAACACAUGGUAUUAGGGAUAGCAAGCGCAGGUAGCUGGAAAAGAUUGGAGGAUAUUUGAAGAGGAACUAUGCAGAAGGUUUGUAGAUCCAUGAGUUGCUAACAUCAUUGAUGAGUUCAACAAACUUGCUCAAAAAGGACCACUGCAAGAAUACCAAAUUUUUUUGAGGAACUUGACUCCUUACAACCAAGGAGAGAGUAGGAUCAUUCCAUUACUUUGAUAUCAAGGACACCUGUAAACAUCAGACCUUAUAGGUAUCCUUAUUCCAGAAGACAAAAAUUAAGAGAUAAAUUGCAAAGAUGCUGGAUCAUUCAGUCUAGUCAUAACCCAUCUGCAUCUCCAGUGCUCCUAGUUAAGAAGGACGACUCAUGGAGAUUCUGCAUCGACUACAAAUAGCUCAAUGCAAUCACAGAAAAAAAGGAAUUCCUAAUACCUUCGAUUGAUGAUUUGUUGUAUAAAUUACAUGCGGCCAUGGUCUUUUACAAGAUGCAUUUAAUGUCGUGCUAUCACCAUAUCAAAAUGAAGUCAGAAUACGCAUACAAGACAACCUUCCGAAUACACCACAAGUAUUUCAAGUUCAAAGUCAUACUUUUGGCUUGAAUAAUGUACCAUAGACAUUUUAGUUCUUAAUGAAUCAAAUAUCCCGGCUCUACAUAAGACGGUUUAUGUUAGUGUUUUUUGAUGACAUAUUAAUUUAUAGUAGGACAAUGAAGCAGUACUAGGAGCACUUAGAGAAGGUCUUUCAAACGUUAAAGCAACAUAGGGUAUUUGUGCGCUAGUCCAAGUGCUGUUUUGGAAGGAGACAAGUUGAAUGCUUGGAGCAAAUCAUCACAAGAGAAAGUGUUAAGAUAGAUCCCUCAAAGAUUGAGACCAUGGUCACUUGGCUGAGACCCACUACUGUAAAGGGAUUGAGGGGAUUCCUCGGAUUGAUAUGAUAUUGCAGGAAAUUCGUGAACGGUGCCAUAAAUGGACCCUUAACGGAAUUACUCAAAAGAGAGACACCUCCAAUGGAAUGAAAUAGCUGAGGAGGCCUUUGAGAAGCUCAAGAUGCAAUGACCAGUGCCCCUAUCCUUGCCUUGCCCAAUUUUGUAGAGAUCUUUGUGAUAGAAGUCGAAGCUUAUAACAUAGGAAUGGGGGCACUCCUAUCACAAGUAGGGAUAUCACAAGUUUGAGAGAUCGAUAACAUUUAUGAGUAAAUUCUUAAGUGCAAAGAAUUAGAUUGUCUCAACAUAUGAAAAAAAAUUGCUCUCAAUUCUUAUGGGAGCGAGCAAGUGGAGGCACUAUCGUGAAAACAGAAUUCAUCAUUAAAACCAACCAACAAGGCAUUAAAUACCUCUUAAAGUAACAAAUCUAGCCUUUUAUGUAGGUCAAGGGAAUUAUAAAGUUAAUGGGGCUCGACUACAAGAUUAUGUACAAAAAGGGAAUUGAGAACAAGGCAGUAAAUGCUCUAUCCAGAAGAGAGGUGCAUGAAGGAGGAGAAUUGUGUAUAGCAACAUCAACAAUUGUUCACACUUAGAUGGAGAUCCAACAAUCAUACCAAGGGGAUGAAAUAGCUGAAGACCUCUUAUGCGACCUAAUGCUGUGAUAAUUUAAGAGAUUUUGAGUAAAAAUUUUGUUUCUCAUAUGGAGGAGAAUUCUCAUUAUAUAUACAAAUAUACAAACUAACUUUUAACCUCCUAAAUUAGCUAAACUAUCAUAUAUAAAUCUGUCAUAUCAUUAAUAUAUUCUAACAUAAGGACAGAAUAAAAGAUAUAAAUAUAGAAAAUAAUUAUUAAAGUUGUACAAGGCAUAAACUAGGAAUAAAAUAUGCUAGACUUAUAAUUGCCAGUUAAUUCAUAUGACAUUCAAGGCAUAAAAUCUGCUUGCUAAUUGCAUAAUCUGCUGGUCUUAUAAUUGCAUAAAAUUUGCUGGAUUUAUAAUUGCCAACUAAUUCCUUUAACAUCCCCUCUUAAAUUGAUGUUAGUACAUUUAAAAGUAUCAAUUUGCUAAUAAGAAAAAUUAUGGUGCUAACAAGUCAUAGAUUUGGUGAAGAGAUCUUCAAUAUGUAGAUUUCCUAGUGUUUGUACACUUUACCCAAUCACUUCUGCAAUCUGUAGACUUCUUAAUGUUUGAACACCCUGCCUAAUCAACAUCACUAUGGACUUGUACUUGGAGAGAAUGACCACUAAGAAAGGAUAACCCACGUCUAGGAGUGCCAUAAAUAUACUUGAUAAUUCGACAAACUGCUGAUAGGUAGAGACGCCGAGGAGCUUGCAUGAAUUUGCAGACGAUGUGGACAAUAUAAAAAAUGUCCAGUCAUGUGAUGGUUAAUUAAAUGAGACUACUAACAACUUCCGAUAUAAAGUAGGAUCCUCAAGAAGUUUUCCUUCAUUACGUUGAUAUUUCACAUUAAUUUGUAUAAGAGUAUCAACAGAUGUGUUUGUGAGACCAACUAAUUUAAUUGGAUUUUAAAUAUACUUUUGUUGAUUCAAAAAAAUACCUUGAGACUGAUGACGCAUCUCUAACCCCAAGAAGUAGGUGAACUACCUAAAGUCUUUUAUGUGAAAAUAAGAGUGCAACAAAUUUUGAAUUUCAGAGAUGCUCUCCUUAUUAAACUCAGUAAUAACUAUGUCAUCCACAUAAACAAAAAGUAUAACUAAACCCUUAAAUGUCAUUUGAAGAAAAAGUGAGGAGUCAUACUGAUUUUGAGUAAAUGAAAAACCAAGAAAAGUUGAUUUGAACUUUUCAAACCAUAUCUGCGGUGUCUACUUCAAGCCAUAAAAAAAACAUUUUAAUUUACAAAUAACAUUAGAUGAGGAAAUAAGCAUACCAUGCAGAAGUUUUACGUAAACUUCCUCUUUAAGAUCAUCAUGUAAGAACACAUCCUUAAUAUCAAUUUGAUGUAGAGACUACGACUGAGAUGCAGUAAGGAUUAGUAUGGUGUGCAUGGUUGUCAUCUUGUCUACUUGUGCAAGGAUUUCAUCAUAGUCUAGGCCAUACUUCUAUUUAUUGUCAAGAAUUACCAAUCGAGUCUUGUAAUGGUUUAUGGAUCCAUGAGAUCGAAAUUUUAUAGAAAACACAAGUUUACUUCCAAUGAGUUUCAUAGAUGGGGCACACGAAACAACAUCCCAAGUUUGGUUUUCUUCGAGUGCUAGAAAUUCUGAUUCAGUAACUUGUCACCAGCAUCAUGCUCCAUUUUGCAUGUUUGUAUGAGGGAAUAAGAAUAGAUGAUAAAGUGGCUGUCAAGGAGAAAGGAGGGGUGAGACAAUACCUAUAUAGUGGUCUAUGAACAUAAGUAUUGCGUCUAAGAGGAGUAAGUGCAGCUUUGGAACAUGAUCAACAGUCAAGGAAUGAGUUGGAGAGGACUUGUUAGGUGUAGAAGUUUGAUAUGAUGUUUUGAAUAUGCAUCACUGAUAUACUAAGAAAAGUUUAGAAGGUACAAGAUCUGGAGAAGAGUUAACAAAUCAUGAUAAAAUAGAAAAUGAAGGAGAAAUAAAAUCAUGGUGGGUAGCAAAAAAAUAUUAAUUUUCGAAAAAUGUCAUAUUUUUAGACACUCGAAUACAACUCAGAUUAGGAUCAUUACAAAAAAAACCUUUAUGGUAUACUGAAUAUCCUAAAAAUAAACAUUGAAUUGAUUGAGCUGUGAGUUUUAUAUGUUCAUGUGCAGGAAAAUGUACAAAACACACAACCAAAAGUACAAAGUUAAAAUAAUUUAGAAUACGACCAAAUAACUGAGUGAAAGGAGAGACAUGAUUCAAUGAGGAAGAGGACAACUUGUUGAUGAGGUGUACAACAGUGGAGAGAGUUUCACACCAAAACUGAGAGGGUACAAAUGACUCUAAUAGAAGGGUGCGAACAACAUCAAGAAGAUAACAAUUCUUUCUCUCUAUCAUCCCAUUUUGUUGUGGGUUUGAUGGACAAGAUCGUUGAGAGACUAUACCAAUAGAUUGUAGAAACGUUUGAAAAGAGUGAGACAUGUACUCACCCCAAUUGUCAAAGUAAAAGAUUUUAAUUUUAGCAAAAAAUUGGGUUUGAAUAUGUGCAUGGAAAAGUUUAAGAACAAAAAUAUUUCGUUCUUAGAAUGAAGAAAAUAGAUCAAUGUGAGAUGAUUAUACUCAUCAAUAAAAGUGACAAAAUACUUUCAAUUAGCAUGAGAAGUAAUUGGUGCCAUACCCCAUUCCCCCACAUUACUAUGUAUCAUAUCAAAAGACUCCAUUUGGUCUGUGAGUGAGAAAGGGUAAAGUUUUAUUUUUGCCAAACUUAUAAGAAUUGUAAUCAAAUUGAAUAUCACGAAGAGAUUGUGACUUUUUAUUCCCAAGUAUAUAAGAAUUUAGUAAAACAUAGAGUAUAUUAGAGUUUGAAUGCAUGGGACAUUUAUACUAUUAGAGUUUGGAUGUAUGAGAUGUUUAUGUCAUGUUCGAUAAUCAACAUGUGCAGAAUUACAAGCGAUAGAUGAUAAAGAGAAACAUGGAGACGAAGGAAAUGAAAGAGGAAAAAAAUGUCUUAAUUUAGGUCUUAUUACAAUUAUCUUCCCUGAUUGUUGAUCCUGCACAAUACAACUAGAUUUAGAAAUUUUUACUUUAUAAUUAUUAUCAACCAACUGACCGAUAGAAACGAGAUUACUAAUAAGAUUAGAAGAGACAAAAACAUUAGCUAGAGAAUAAGAAAUGUCACCAGUGACUAUGAUAGGUAAAUGGAUCCCAUCAGCUGUAUAAAUCUUGAAAUUUUUAGAGUAUUUCUUUGAAUUGAUAAGAAAAUUAGGAUUGUUGAUCAUAUGGUUAGAGGUAAUAGAAUCAAAAUACUAAGGAGAUGAUGUUGAGAAAAGUUUAUCUAAGAGUUUGAAGCAGAAAAUGCAGAGAUGAUCAUUUGUUGAUUCAUUUCAGGGGUUACAGGUGGAGUAAGAGCAGCAGGACACUCUGUGCUAUGUUAAUAGAAUUACCAGUACUAAAAAAACCAACAGACGUUAUAUAUAUUGUUGUAGAUUUCUUAGGAGGUCGGGUAAGACAUUCCUUAAUGAUGUGAUUGUCCUUUUUACAGUAGUUACAUAACUUUUGAAUAGUUUAAAAUAUAAUAUUCAAACUCCUUAGAACAAAGACAUUGAAUAGUGCUCAAGUCUCUACAUUUUGGCUUGUCUUGUGCUGCAUAAGGCACAAGGAUAGAGAUAGAUUUUUGUUAUUCCAUGGUGAUUUGGGUGAGAAUUCGCUGUUCCUUACAAAAUAAAGUAUUGAGACAUACAUUUAAUGAGGGGAUAGGUUCCUGGUUCAAAAGAUUAGACUUGGUGCCUUCAAACUGAAGAGAAUUAAAACCUUCAGGAGAUAAGGUAACAUAAACUAUAUUAGUAUAUUCAUCACAAAUAUUCAUAAAGUUAGAAUAAAAAUCAGAAGUAGAGAGAUUGCCCUUUUGAGGAAUGGCUAAUUCAUGUUCAAUAUGAAAUCUUCGAGCAGUGUUGUGUUGGCUAUCGAGUUUUUUCAAAUAAGUCCACAUUCAGCUGU
This 7051-nucleotide long non-coding RNA is filed under the name Carica papaya (papaya). RNAcentral's name for it is "long non-coding RNA (CPAP_LNC009538)". The record is from RNAcentral. Lineage: Eukaryota; Viridiplantae; Streptophyta; Magnoliopsida; Brassicales; Caricaceae.